CGGCCCCCCCCAGUCAGCCUAGGUUGUCUCUGGCCACCCCGGGGUGGGCUGGGGGGGAGGCGGGCAGGUUGUACCUGAUGUGAGGGAGUCAUGAGUCUUGAUCCGAGACUUCUUUUCGAUGCUUUAAGAGAGGGCACAGGAUGUGGGAGGCCCCACUUUGUCCCCAUUGGGCCACGUGGUCCCCGGGUUGGUGGGGGACAGCAGGACUUGGGGAGGGGGCUGAGGCCCCAGUUCCGCAAGGUGACCCAUAGUGUCCUCGCCAACUUCCCGAGGGCCCCACAGUCAACUGGUCACCUGAAAGGGGGGACCCUCACCCUGGGGAUGGUUCCAUCUUGGUACACUGGAGGUCCUUUGUGCCAGCAACGGUAUCCGGGCAGCAUCGGGUUCCGAGCUCCGAGCCACCGAGCGCUUGUCUUGGGGGAGGUCCCCAUCCUGCCAGCAGUGCAGGCCUCCCCCAGCGCCUCCUGCUGCGCCUGGCUCAGGUGGAACAGCCAUUGCGAUGUGUGUCCUCACGGUGGCCAGAGCGGUGGGCUUUGUCCCCAUUCUCUGCAGGAGAGGGGCGGGGCCUCCCAGCCGCCCAGCUUGAGGGACCCUUGAAGAUGGCCUUUCCACACCGGCCUGGAAACUGGCGCUGUGGUUCCGAGGACAGCUACCAAAAAUAAAGGGAGGGAAGGAGUAAGGAAGGAAAAGAAAAGAGAGAGAGAAAAGAGGAAAGUCUCCAUGGACUGUUAUGCAGUGUUCUCUCCAGGAUAUAUCAUUACAAAACAAGAAGACGGGCUGGCCCCGUGGCCCAGUGGUGAAGUGCGCGCACUCUGCUCUGGCGGCCCAGGGUUUCUCUGGUUCGGAUCUUGGGCACGGACAUCGCACCGCUCAUCAAGCCACGCUGAAAUGGCAUCCCACAUGCCGCACACAACUGGAAGGACCCACAACUAAAAAUACACAACUAUGUAUCAGGGGGUUUGGGAGAAGAAGGAAAAAUCAAAUCUUUUUAAAAAAAACACAAGAAGACAGAGAUAUAUGUAAUGC
This 1026-nucleotide long non-coding RNA is filed under the name Equus caballus (horse). Its description in RNAcentral is "lncRNA (ENSECAG00000054238.1)". The record is from RNAcentral. Lineage: Eukaryota; Metazoa; Chordata; Mammalia; Perissodactyla; Equidae.